RNAcentral lists this ribosomal RNA (463 nucleotides) under uncultured bacterium. Its description in RNAcentral is "partial 16S ribosomal RNA". It matches the Rfam family "Bacterial small subunit ribosomal RNA", at positions 339 to 795 of the family's 1533-position model. The record is from RNAcentral.
CUACGGGCUGCGCAGUGGGGAAUAUUGCACAAUGGGCGCAAGCCUGAUGCAGCCAUGCCGCGUGUAUGAAGAAGGCCUUCGGGUUGUAAAGUACUUUCAGCGGGGAGGAAGGGAGUAAAGUUAAUACCUUUGCUCAUUGACGUUACCCGCAGAAGAAGCACCGGCUAACUCCGUGCCAGCAGCCGCGGUAAUACGGAGGGUGCAAGCGUUAAGCGGAAUUACUGGGCGUAAAGCGCACGCAGGCGGUUUGUUAAGUCAGAUGUGAAAUCCCCGGGCUCAACCUGGGAACUGCAUCUGAUACUGGCAAGCUUGAGUCUCGUAGAGGGGGGUAGAAUUCCAGGUGUAGCGGUGAAAUGCGUAGAGAUCUGGAGGAAUACCGGUGGCGAAGGCGGCCCCCUGGACGAAGACUGACGCUCAGGUGCGAAAGCGUGGGGAGCAAACAGGAUUAGAUACCCGAGUAGUC